GCGGUAUCCUAACCGUGCGAAGGUAGCGUAAUCACUUGUUCUCUAAAUCAGGACUAGUAUGAACGGCACCACGAGGGUUACACUGUCUCCUUUUUCCAAUUAGUGAAAUUAAUUUUCCCGUGAAGAAGCGGGAAUAAACCUAUAAGACGAGAAGACCCUAUGGAGCUUUAAACAAUCUAGCAUUUGCCUAUAUUCUUCAUGUUCCAGAACUCUCUAGACCCUUGCACAAUGACUAGGAGUUUUAGGUUGGGGUGACCACGGAGUAAAACUCAUCCUCCAUAAUGAAUUGAACUUUGAUUCUUAACUAAGAAACACCUAUCUAAGUAUUAAUACACUAACAUUUAUUGACCCAAUACA
RNAcentral lists this ribosomal RNA (357 nucleotides) under Amazophrynella manaos. Its description in RNAcentral is "partial 16S ribosomal RNA". It matches the Rfam family "Archaeal large subunit ribosomal RNA", at positions 2010 to 2497 of the family's 2987-position model. Lineage: Eukaryota; Metazoa; Chordata; Amphibia; Anura; Bufonidae. The record is from RNAcentral.